ACUGGUGCGGGGCCAGGGGGCGGGUGAAUAAAGAGGGGUCAAGGGUUGUUCGGAAUUACUGGGGGUAAAGGGCGCGUAGGCGGCCUGCUAAGUCGAACGGGAAAUCCCCGAGCUGAACUCGGGAACUGCGUCCGAUACUGGCAGGAUUGAAUCCGGGAGAGGGAUGCGGAAUGCCAGGUGUAGCGGUGAAAUGCGUAGAUAUCUGGAGGAACACCGGUGGCGAAGGCGGCAUCCUGGACCGGCAUUGACGCUGAGGCGCGAAAGCCAGGGGAGCAAACGGGAUUAGAUACCCUGGUAGUC
Molecule: ribosomal RNA, 300 nt
Filed under: uncultured Natrialba sp.
Lineage: Archaea; Methanobacteriati; Methanobacteriota; Halobacteria; Halobacteriales; Natrialbaceae
Description: bacterial SSU rRNA
Rfam family: Bacterial small subunit ribosomal RNA (bases 52-300)
Source: RNAcentral